Molecule: ribosomal RNA, 1372 nt
Filed under: uncultured bacterium
Lineage: Bacteria
Description: bacterial SSU rRNA
Rfam family: Bacterial small subunit ribosomal RNA
Source: RNAcentral
GAUGAACGCUGGCGGCGUGCCUAAUACAUGCAAGUCGAGCGAACAGAUAAGGAGCUUGCUCCUUUGAAGUUAGCGGCGGACGGGUGAGUAACACGUGGGUAACCUACCUAUAAGACUGGGAUAACUUCGGGAAACCGGAGCUAAUACCGGAUAACAUUUAGAACCGCAUGGAUCUAAAGUGAAAGAUGGUUUUGCUAUCACUUAUAGAUGGACCCGCGCCGUAUUAGCUAGUUGGUAAGGUAACGGCUUACCAAGGCGACGAUACGUAGCCAACCUGAGAGGGUGAUCGGCCACACUGGAACUGAGACACGGUCCAGACUCCUACGGGAGGCAGCAGUAGGGAAUCUUCCGCAAUGGGCGAAAGCCUGACGGAGCAACGCCGCGUGAGUGAUGAAGGGUUUCGGCUCGUAAAACUCUGUUAUUAGGGAAGAACAAAUGUGUAAGUAACUGUGCACAUCUUGACGGUACCUAAUCAGAAAGCCACGGCUAACUACGUGCCAGCAGCCGCGGUAAUACGUAGGUGGCAAGCGUUAUCCGGAAUUAUUGGGCGUAAAGCGCGCGUAGGCGGUUUCUUAAGUCUGAUGUGAAAGCCCACGGCUCAACCGUGGAGGGUCAUUGGAAACUGGGAAACUUGAGUGCAGAAGAGGAAAGUGGAAUUCCAUGUGUAGCGGUGAAAUGCGCAGAGAUAUGGAGGAACACCAGUGGCGAAGGCGACUUUCUGGUCUGUAACUGACGCUGAUGUGCGAAAGCGUGGGGAUCAAACAGGAUUAGAUACCCUGGUAGUCCACGCCGUAAACGAUGAGUGCUAAGUGUUAGGGGGUUUCCGCCCCUUAGUGCUGCAGCUAACGCAUUAAGCACUCCGCCUGGGGAGUACGACCGCAAGGUUGAAACUCAAAGGAAUUGACGGGGACCCGCACAAGCGGUGGAGCAUGUGGUUUAAUUCGAAGCAACGCGAAGAACCUUACCAAAUCUUGACAUCCUUUGAAAACUCUAGAGAUAGAGCCUUCCCCUUCGGGGGACAAAGUGACAGGUGGUGCAUGGUUGUCGUCAGCUCGUGUCGUGAGAUGUUGGGUUAAGUCCCGCAACGAGCGCAACCCUUAAGCUUAGUUGCCAUCAUUAAGUUGGGCACUCUAGGUUGACUGCCGGUGACAAACCGGAGGAAGGUGGGGAUGACGUCAAAUCAUCAUGCCCCUUAUGAUUUGGGCUACACACGUGCUACAAUGGACAAUACAAAGGGCAGCUAAACCGCGAGGUCAUGCAAAUCCCAUAAAGUUGUUCUCAGUUCGGAUUGUAGUCUGCAACUCGACUACAUGAAGCUGGAAUCGCUAGUAAUCGUAGAUCAGCAUGCUACGGUGAAUACGUUCCCGGGUCU